This is a long non-coding RNA of Bos taurus (domestic cattle), 365 nucleotides long. The record is from Ensembl. Lineage: Eukaryota; Metazoa; Chordata; Mammalia; Artiodactyla; Bovidae.
UUCACCAUUCAACCCAAUUCUAAAUGUUUGGAGAAAAGAAUAAAAUAGUGGUUCUGAAGCAGCAAAAAGUGUUAUACUUGGCCCUUGGCCCGUAGGCUGGUGUAGACAUAAGAUUUAUAAACAGCAGGGUAGAAACAGGAAAUCACAGGUCAGAUAAUUCUUUAGGUGUAGGAAGAAAAGAUACAUUUAAAAUUUGAGUCAAUAUGAAGGAAGAGAAAACAGAAAUCCCAUUCGCCAAAAUCAGCUCUAAUCCAGGAAGGCUGUCAAGAAGGACGUGGGAUUCACAGGCCUCUGCAGAGAAGGCGAUGGCACCCCACUCCAGUACUCUUGCCUGGAAAAUCCCAUGGAUGCAGGAGCCUGGUAAG